RNAcentral lists this ribosomal RNA (490 nucleotides) under uncultured bacterium. RNAcentral's name for it is "partial 16S ribosomal RNA". It matches the Rfam family "Bacterial small subunit ribosomal RNA", at positions 30 to 507 of the family's 1533-position model. The record is from RNAcentral.
AUUGAACGCUGGCGGCAGGCCUAACACAUGCAAGUCGAACGGUAACAGAAAGCAGCUUGCUGCUUUGCUGACGAGUGGCGGACGGGUGAGUAAUGUCUGGGAAACUGCCUGAUGGAGGGGGAUAACUACUGGAAACGGUAGCUAAUACCGCGUAACGUCGCAAGACCAAAGAGGGGGACCUUCGGGCCUCUUGCCAUCGGAUGUGCCCAGAUGGGAUUAGCUAGUAGGUGGGGUAACGGCUCACCUAGGCGACGAUCCCUAGCUGGUCUGAGAGGAUGACCAGCCACACUGGAACUGAGACACGGUCCAGACUCCUACGGGAGGCAGCAGUGGGGAAUAUUGCACAAUGGGCGCAAGCCUGAUGCAGCCAUGCCGCGUGUAUGAAGAAGGCCUUCGGGUUGUAAAGUACUUUCGGCGGGGAGGAAGGGAGUAAAGUUAAUACCUUUGCUCAUUGACGUUACCCGCAGAAGAAGCACCGGCUAACUCCGUG